Molecule: ribosomal RNA, 1413 nt
Filed under: Enterobacteriaceae bacterium G2-5
Lineage: Bacteria; Pseudomonadati; Pseudomonadota; Gammaproteobacteria; Enterobacterales; Enterobacteriaceae
Description: 16S ribosomal RNA
Rfam family: Bacterial small subunit ribosomal RNA
Source: RNAcentral
AAACAUGCAGUCGAGCGGUAGCACAGAGAGCUUGCUCUCGGGUGACGAGCGGCGGACGGGUGAGUAAUGUCUGGGAAACUGCCUGAUGGAGGGGGAUAACUACUGGAAACGGUAGCUAAUACCGCAUAAUGUCGCAAGACCAAAGUGGGGGACCUUCGGGCCUCAUGCCAUCAGAUGUGCCCAGAUGGGAUUAGCUAGUAGGUGGGGUAACGGCUCACCUAGGCGACGAUCCCUAGCUGGUCUGAGAGGAUGACCAGCCACACUGGAACUGAGACACGGUCCAGACUCCUACGGGAGGCAGCAGUGGGGAAUAUUGCACAAUGGGCGCAAGCCUGAUGCAGCCAUGCCGCGUGUAUGAAGAAGGCCUUCGGGUUGUAAAGUACUUUCAGCGGGGAGGAAGGCGAUAAGGUUAAUAACCUUGUCGAUUGACGUUACCCGCAGAAGAAGCACCGGCUAACUCCGUGCCAGCAGCCGCGGUAAUACGGAGGGUGCAAGCGUUAAUCGGAAUUACUGGGCGUAAAGCGCACGCAGGCGGUCUGUCAAGUCGGAUGUGAAAUCCCCGGGCUCAACCUGGGAACUGCAUUCGAAACUGGCAGGCUAGAGUCUUGUAGAGGGGGGUAGAAUUCCAGGUGUAGCGGUGAAAUGCGUAGAGAUCUGGAGGAAUACCGGUGGCGAAGGCGGCCCCCUGGACAAAGACUGACGCUCAGGUGCGAAAGCGUGGGGAGCAAACAGGAUUAGAUACCCUGGUAGUCCACGCCGUAAACGAUGUCGAUUUGGAGGUUGUGCCCUUGAGGCGUGGCUUCCGGAGCUAACGCGUUAAAUCGACCGCCUGGGGAGUACGGCCGCAAGGUUAAAACUCAAAUGAAUUGACGGGGGCCCGCACAAGCGGUGGAGCAUGUGGUUUAAUUCGAUGCAACGCGAAGAACCUUACCUGGUCUUGACAUCCACAGAACUUACCAGAGAUGGCUUGGUGCCUUCGGGAACUGUGAGACAGGUGCUGCAUGGCUGUCGUCAGCUCGUGUUGUGAAAUGUUGGGUUAAGUCCCGCAACGAGCGCAACCCUUAUCCUUUGUUGCCAGCGGUUCGGCCGGGAACUCAAAGGAGACUGCCAGUGAUAAACUGGAGGAAGGUGGGGAUGACGUCAAGUCAUCAUGGCCCUUACGACCAGGGCUACACACGUGCUACAAUGGCAUAUACAAAGAGAAGCGACCUCGCGAGAGCAAGCGGACCUCAUAAAGUAUGUCGUAGUCCGGAUUGGAGUCUGCAACUCGACUCCAUGAAGUCGGAAUCGCUAGUAAUCGUAGAUCAGAAUGCUACGGUGAAUACGUUCCCGGGCCUUGUACACACCGCCCGUCACACCAUGGGAGUGGGUUGCAAAAGAAGUAGGUAGCUUAACCUUCGGGAGGGCGCUACC